GUUGGGCAGCUGUACCUCCAGCUUCUACUGCAAGUGCCUGCAGGAUCAUGUUGUGGAAUAGUAGUAGCCUGAACAAUUCCAGCCUGAGGUUUCAACGUUGCUAAAGCUUCUCUGGCUGCAGUUACUUCUUUUGUUAAUCUAGCAAUUACACGGCAUGCUGCAUCAUGUUGAUAUAAAGAAUGAGAUAGCUCCUGUCUAGCUGUUUGAAGUUGUUGCCUAAGCGUAAAUGAAUGUAACAUAACAGCAUCCCACUCAUCUUGUAAAAUUUUCAAUAUAGCUGGAAUUGAUGUGGCACUUGGUGGUUUAGGUUUAACUAUUGCAGUUGCUGCAAAACAACAAGAAUAUUAUUGAUAACUGGAUGUUGUAUUCAAAGACAAAUAUAUACAGAAACAAGAAAUAUACUUUUGAUAUCAAUAA
Long non-coding RNA from Bombus terrestris (buff-tailed bumblebee), 417 nucleotides. RefSeq lists it as uncharacterized. The record is from RefSeq and is a predicted model, not a curated record. Lineage: Eukaryota; Metazoa; Arthropoda; Insecta; Hymenoptera; Apidae. The transcript has 2 exons.